RNAcentral lists this long non-coding RNA (274 nucleotides) under Elaeis guineensis (African oil palm). RNAcentral's name for it is "long non-coding RNA (EGUI_LNC033770)". The record is from RNAcentral. Lineage: Eukaryota; Viridiplantae; Streptophyta; Magnoliopsida; Arecales; Arecaceae.
CCAUCCUCUAAUCCGUAGCAUCCAAUGCCUAAUGGACAUGGUUGCGUCUUUCCGGUGCAACUGAGCCACUGUAACCAGCCGAGAACAAUCAACCCCGGGAAGAGCCCGCACAUCCACAAUGGUGGAAGACCUAGACUUAAUAUUUUCUUAGGAAUAUUUAAUUUAGGUCUCAUUAAACUUGACUUGACAUAGUCAUAACAAUUAUGACUAACCUAGUGGCAUGGGUUAGCUCGAAUUGUUAGCCACCUCUAAUCAGAACUGAGUCGACACAUAU